Molecule: ribosomal RNA, 253 nt
Filed under: uncultured bacterium
Lineage: Bacteria
Description: partial 16S ribosomal RNA
Rfam family: Bacterial small subunit ribosomal RNA
Source: RNAcentral
UACGGAGGGUGCAAGCGUUAUCCGGAAUCAUUGGGUUUAAAGGGUCCGCAGGCGGUUCUAUAAGUCAGUGGUGAAAUCUCUCGGCUCAACCGAGAAACUGCCAUUGAUACUGUAGGACUUGAAUUCGGUCGAAGUGGGCGGAAUAUGACAUGUAGCGGUGAAAUGCUUAGAUAUGUCAUAGAACACCGAUAGCGAAGGCAGCUCACUAGGCCUGGAUUGACGCUCAGGGACGAAAGCGUGGGGAGCAAACAGG